CGGCCAAAUAGCUCCGUAUCUUAGGUAGAAGGAGUGCCUAUUCCGAGAGGGAAUAGGUCGCAGUGGCAAGGGGACCCCGACUGUUUACCAAAAACACAGAUCGCUGCUAGUUCGUAAGGAUGUGUAUAGCGGUUGAAACCUGCCCAGUGUCGGUACCUGAAAAUCCCGUACAAGGGAAAGAAGGGCCGAUAAACGGCGGGGGUAACUAUGACCCUCUUAAGGUAGCGUAAUACCUAGCCGCUUAAUUGGCGGCUUGCAUGAAGGUUCAACGUGAGUCCCACUGUCCCCGCGUUCAGCCCCGUGAAAUUGAUGCACUGGUGCACAAUCCAGUCUCUCCCACGUGAAAGCGAAGUCCCCGUGGAGCUUUACUGCAGCCUGUAGCUGUAAUACGGUGCUUAAUGCGUAGAGUAGGAAGGAGCUGUCGAUGCCUGGGUUCUGGCUCAGGUGGAGGCGACGAUGAAACACUUCCCUUUGAGUACUGAAUUACUAACCUCGCAAGAGGGACAACUAUUGGUGGGCAGUUUGGGUGGGGCGCCACGCCCCCGAGAAUUUAACAGGGGCCCCCAAAGGUUAGCUCAGGAGGGUCAGUAAUCCUCCGUAGAGUGUAAGGGCAAAAGCUAGCUUGACUGAGUUCCGGACAAUAAGGAACGCAGAUGCGAAAGCAGGGCCUAACGAACCACCCUGUCCCCCUUUAGUGGGGGCGGGUGAUAAGAGAGAAGUUACCCCAGGGAUAACUGAGUUGUCCUCGGCAAGAGUUCAUAUCGACCCGAGGGUUUGCUACUUCGAUGUCGUCUGUUCCUAUCCUGGUGCUGAACAAGGUGCCAAGGGUGGGGCUGUUCGCCCAUUAAAAGGGAUCCUGAGAUGGGUUCACUACGUCGCGAGACAGUAGGGUUGCUUCUCCGUGGGAGUGUUCGAUGUCUGAAGGGAAGGAGCCUUUAGUACGAGAGGAACGGGGGUUCGUGACCUCUGGUUUGCCGGUUGUCUGUCAAGGCAUUUGCCGGGUAGCCACGUCAUACGCGAAUAAAAGCUGAAAGCAUCUAAGCUUGAAGUCGCCCCUGAAAAUAGACAUCGUUAUUAGGUCUCUCCUAGAAGAGGAGAUUGAUAGAACUGGGAUGUAAGUGCCGAGCUUCGGCGAGGCAUUCAGUCUACAGUUACUAAUCGACCGAAUGCACAAUC
RNAcentral lists this ribosomal RNA (1176 nucleotides) under Thermoplasmatales archaeon UBA262. RNAcentral describes it as "bacterial LSU rRNA". It matches the Rfam family "Archaeal large subunit ribosomal RNA", at positions 1812 to 2987 of the family's 2987-position model. The record is from RNAcentral. Lineage: Archaea; Methanobacteriati; Thermoplasmatota; Thermoplasmata; Thermoplasmatales.